GGAGAGACAGAUUGAGGGAGACAGAGGCUGCUUGUGGUCUUACCUGGAACAUGAAUUCUAAUUAAGCUGCUCCGUGACUGGACAGCCAGCAUGGAGGCCAGGUAGUGCUGUAGGCUUCAACUGCCACCAGUUGGGAGGCAAGUCAGGAAUGAGCUCCUACACCUUUAGGGUGGAAAGAGAAGGAAGCAAAGGCUCAGCUUGAGAACUUCCGGGUGCUAAGUGGAGGUGAAAUACAGAAGUAUUAAACUGUGAACUAGACACAGCUCUUACCCUGUAAGAAUUUUAGGGUGGUGGAAGAGACAAAUAGGCAAUUUCAGUAUAUUGUUGCCACAGUCAGAGGUAAAUAAAUUCUUGGGGCCAUGGAAGCACACAAGAUCUUCCAACCCGUGUUCUGGGGAAGAAGAUGAAUCCAGGGAAAUUCCCCUAGAGACGUUGGCGAAGAUGAAGGGCAAGGAAGACUACACAAACUAUUGAGCACAACAAGACAGGAGGUAAUCCAAACUCAACUCAGCGAAGUGGCAGAGAAAACUGCCCAUGGAGGAAGAACAGCAGGGUCUGGAUGCUUCUUGCUUCUCACCCAAUGCUCUAGGACUAGCCAUUCUGAGAGCACCAGCAGGCCACCAUUGCAGAAGGAC
Molecule: long non-coding RNA, 635 nt
Filed under: Fukomys damarensis (Damara mole-rat)
Lineage: Eukaryota; Metazoa; Chordata; Mammalia; Rodentia; Bathyergidae
Description: lncRNA (ENSFDAG00000029457.1)
Source: RNAcentral